GGGAGCAGUCUAUGCAUGGUUCAUGCAUUAUUUUGCAUGAUCAGAUGGCCAGAAAGAGUUGCAGACAUGAUCGGAUGGCCACGAGAGCUUGCAGGGUUGAUCAAGCAGUCAAAAGAGUUUUUUGAGUCCUAUUAAGACUUUGAUUUUGACUGAAACUUGAUUUGGGCCCUUUAAAAGGGACAGACAGGUUGAGAGCGGCAGUGGAGCACAAAGAGGGGCUAGCAGUGA
Molecule: long non-coding RNA, 228 nt
Filed under: Elaeis guineensis (African oil palm)
Lineage: Eukaryota; Viridiplantae; Streptophyta; Magnoliopsida; Arecales; Arecaceae
Description: long non-coding RNA (EGUI_LNC028124)
Source: RNAcentral